AUUGCUAUGCGAAUGACUGUUUCAUGAGAUAAACAUGACAUUUAUUCGAAUAGUAAUAG
Molecule: microRNA precursor, 59 nt
Filed under: Euprymna scolopes
Lineage: Eukaryota; Metazoa; Mollusca; Cephalopoda; Sepiida; Sepiolidae
Description: Esc-Mir-12504_pre stem-loop
Source: RNAcentral